RNAcentral lists this ribosomal RNA (462 nucleotides) under uncultured bacterium. RNAcentral's name for it is "SSU rRNA". It matches the Rfam family "Bacterial small subunit ribosomal RNA", at positions 26 to 518 of the family's 1533-position model. The record is from RNAcentral.
AGAAUCAACGCUGGCGGCGUGCCUAACACAUGCAAGUCGAACGAGAAAGUGGUAGCAAUACCAUGAGUAAAGUGGCGCACGGGUGAGUAACACGUGACUAACCUACCCUUGAGUGGGGGAUAACUGAGGGAAACCUUAGCUAAUACCGCAUAAUACCCACGGGUCAAAGGAGCAAUUCGCUCGAGGAGGGGGUCGCGGCCGAUUAGUUAGUUGGCAGGGUAAUGGCCUACCAAGACGAUGAUCGGUAUCCGGCCUGAGAGGGCGCACGGACACACUGGAACUGAAACACGGUCCAGACUCCUACGGGAGGCAGCAGUGGGGAAUUUUGCGCAAUGGGGGAAACCCUGACGCAGCAACGCCGCGUGGAGGAUGAAGUCCUUCGGGACGUAAACUCCUUUCGAUCGGGACGAUUAUGACGGUACCGGAAGAAGAAGCCCCGGCUAACUUCGCGCCAGCAGCCGC